GACGAACGCUGGCGGCGUGCUUAACACAUGCAAGUCGAACGGUGAAGCGCCUUCCUUUUUGGUGGGUGUGGAUGAGUGGCGAACGGGUGAGUAACACGUGAGUAACCUGCCCCCUUCUUCUGGAUAACCGCAUGAAAGUGUGGCUAAUACGGGAUAUUCUGGGUCUGUCGCAUGAUGGGUCUGGGAAAGAUAUUGUUUCGGUGGGGGAUGGGCUCGCGGCCUAUCAGCUUGUUGGUGGGGUGAUGGCCUACCAAGGCGGUGACGGGUAGCCGGCCUGAGAGGGUGGCCGGUCACACUGGGACUGAGACACGGCCCAGACUCCUACGGGAGGCAGCAGUGGGGAAUAUUGCACAAUGGGCGCAAGCCUGAUGCAGCGACGCCGCGUGAGGGAUGGAGGCCGUCGGGUUGUGAACCUCUUUCGCCAGUGAAGCAGGCCUGCCUCGUUUGUGGGUGGGUUGACGGUAGCUGGAUAAGAAGCGCCGGCUAACUACGUG
This 494-nucleotide ribosomal RNA is filed under the name uncultured bacterium. RNAcentral's name for it is "partial 16S ribosomal RNA". It matches the Rfam family "Bacterial small subunit ribosomal RNA", at positions 28 to 507 of the family's 1533-position model. The record is from RNAcentral.